AAACAUUUCUUUUAGAUUAAAAUUUAAAGUUAGUUCUGCUCAAUGAUUAUUAAUUAAAUAGCUGCAGUAUAUUAACUGUACAAAGGUAGCAUAAUAAAUUGUUUUUUAAAUGAAAACUAGAAUGAAGGAAUAAAUGAAAUAUAAACUUUAUUAAUAAUUAAUUUUAAAAUUUAUAUUUAAGUUAAAAAGCUUAAAUUUAUUAAUGGGACGAUAAGACCCUAUAGAAUUUUAUAAAGGUUUUAAUAUAAAAUUAAUAUUUUUUUUUAUUAAAAGUUUUAUUUUUUUGGGAGGAAAUUAAAAUUUAUUUAACUUUUAAAAAUUAAAUACAAUAAUAAUUGAUAAUAAGUAGAGUUUUGUUAAUAAAUUUUAAAUUAAAUUACCUUAGGGAUAACAGCAUAAUAUUUUUUGAUAGUUCAUAUUGAAAAAAAUGUUU
RNAcentral lists this ribosomal RNA (433 nucleotides) under Chlorepyris sp. Its description in RNAcentral is "partial large subunit ribosomal RNA". Lineage: Eukaryota; Metazoa; Arthropoda; Insecta; Hymenoptera; Bethylidae. The record is from RNAcentral.